RNAcentral lists this ribosomal RNA (526 nucleotides) under uncultured eukaryote. RNAcentral describes it as "SSU rRNA". It matches the Rfam family "Eukaryotic small subunit ribosomal RNA", at positions 83 to 632 of the family's 1831-position model. The record is from RNAcentral.
GAAACUGCRAASGGCUCAUUAUAUCAKCAAUAAUUUAUUUGAUGGUUUCUUACKACAUGGAUACCCGUAGUAAUUCUAGAGCUAAUACAUGCAUCAACGCCCAAUCGGGCCGCGUUUAUUAGAUAGAAACCCAUAUUUUUGGUGAAUCAUAAUAACUGUGCGAAUCGCAUGGGUUUACCCCSGCGAUGAAUCAAUCAAGUUUCUGCCCUAUCAGCUUUCGAUGGUAGGGUAUUGGCCUACCAUGGSGUUAACGGGUAACGGAGAAUUAGGGUUCGAUUCCGGAGAGGGAGCCKGAGAAACGGCKACCACAUCCAAGGAAGGCAGCAGGCGCGUAAAUUACCCAAUCCUGACACAGGGAGGUAGUGACAAUAAAUAACAAUGCCGGGCUUUUUCAAGUCUGGCAAUUGGAAUGARAACAAUUUAAAUCCCUUAACGAGGAUCAAUUGGAGGGCAAGUCUGGUGCCAGCAGCCGCGGUAAUUCCAGCUCCAAUAGCGUAUAUUAAUGUUGUUGCAGUUAAAAAGCUCG